UAACUAGUCCGUAUUACCCCGGUAGUACGCCGACUUCUUAGAGGGACUACCGGCUCAAGCCGAUGGAAGUUUGAGGCAAUAACAGGUCUGUGAUGCCCUUAGAUGUUCUGGGCCG
Molecule: ribosomal RNA, 115 nt
Filed under: Acremonium sp.
Lineage: Eukaryota; Fungi; Ascomycota; Sordariomycetes; Hypocreales; Bionectriaceae
Description: partial small subunit ribosomal RNA
Rfam family: Eukaryotic small subunit ribosomal RNA
Source: RNAcentral